Molecule: ribosomal RNA, 238 nt
Filed under: uncultured bacterium
Lineage: Bacteria
Description: partial 16S ribosomal RNA
Rfam family: Bacterial small subunit ribosomal RNA
Source: RNAcentral
CGGAACGGGUGAGUAACGCGUGAGGAACCUGCCUCAAAGAGGGGGGAAACAGUUGGAAACGACUGCUAAUACCGCAUAAGCCCACGGCUCGGCAUCGAGCAGAGGGGAAAGGAGCAAUCCGCUUUGAGAUGGCCUCGCGUCCGAUUAGCUAGUUGGUGAGGUAACGGCCCACCAAGGCGACGAUCGGUAGCCGGACUGGGAGGUUGAACGGCCACAUUGGGACUGAGACACGGCCCAG